RNAcentral lists this ribosomal RNA (502 nucleotides) under uncultured bacterium. RNAcentral's name for it is "partial 16S ribosomal RNA". It matches the Rfam family "Bacterial small subunit ribosomal RNA", at positions 28 to 507 of the family's 1533-position model. The record is from RNAcentral.
GACGAACGCUGGCGGCGUGCCUAAUACAUGCAAGUCGAACGAACCGCGACUAAGUGCUUGCACUAAGUCAAGGUGAGUGGCGAACGGGUGAGUAACACGUGGGUAACCUACCUCAUAGUGGGGGAUAACAGUCGGAAACGACUGCUAAUACCGCAUAGGACAUAGGGUCACAUGAUCCAGUGAGGAAAGGUGGCGCAAGCUAUCGCUACGAGAUGGACCCGCGGUGCAUUAGCUAGUUGGUAGGGUAAAGGCCUACCAAGGCGAUGAUGCAUAGCCGACCUGAGAGGGUGAUCGGCCACAUUGGGACUGAGACACGGCCCAAACUCCUACGGGAGGCAGCAGUAGGGAAUCUUCGGCAAUGGACGCAAGUCUGACGGAGCAACGCCGCGUGAGUGAAGAAGGUCUUCGGAUCGUAAAGCUCUGUUGUUAGAGAAGAACAGCGCAUAGAGUAACUGCUAUGCGUGUGACGGUAUCUAACCAGAAAGCCACGGCUAACUACGUG